AAUGGUUAAAGGGACACUAUAGUCACCUGAACAACUUUAGCUUAAUGAAGCAGUUUUGGUGUAUAGAACAUGCCCCUGCAGCCUCACUGCCCAAUCCUCUGCCAUUUAGGAGUUAAAUCCCUUUGUUUAUGAACCCCAGUCACACCUCCCUGCAUGUGACUUGCACAGCCUUCCAUAAACACUUCCUGUAAAGAGAGCCCUAUUUAGGCUUUCUUUAUUGCAAGUUCUGUUUAAUUAAGAUUUUCUUAUCCCCUGCUAUGUUAAUAGCUUGCUAGACCCUGCAAGAGCCUCCUGUAUGUGAUUAAAGUUCAAUUUAGAGAUUGAGAUACAAUUAUUUAAGGUAAAUUACAUCUGUUUGAAAGUGAAACCAGUUUUUUU
Pelobates cultripes (western spadefoot toad) is the source of this 378-nucleotide non-coding RNA. NCBI's taxonomy places the organism in Eukaryota, Metazoa, Chordata, Amphibia, Anura, Pelobatidae. The record is from the annotation of a GenBank genome assembly.